Long non-coding RNA from Alexandromys fortis (reed vole), 4256 nucleotides. RefSeq lists it as uncharacterized. The transcript has 6 exons. The record is from RefSeq and is a predicted model, not a curated record. Lineage: Eukaryota; Metazoa; Chordata; Mammalia; Rodentia; Cricetidae.
GAUGGAAAAUACACAGAGAAUCUUGAUACUGUAUACUAUUAUGCUCUCUUUGAAUUGUUUGAAUGCUGAGGAAGGACCAACAGCUGCCCAAAGAUAUUUGUUUAUAAAGGCUGCUGAACUAAUCCAUCGUAGAGAUUUUGAUGCCUUGACUUUGAAAUUUGGAUCUAAGGACAUGAUACUUUGGAAAGGAGUUUCUUUUUUUGUUUUCACAGAGGACGAGACCCUGUUCAUUUCUUCUAUUCCGAUAUGGUAUGAUAGACCACGCCCUCCUGAAGAGUUCCUGUGAACAUCUUCAGAAAAUUGCUUCGCUCAACUGCCAACUGAGAUGAAACUAGCACACAGGUUAUAGCAUGAAAGACCUAAUUAACGACGCCCCCAUUCAGCAGGAAGCAGUUUGGAGAGAAAUAACUGCGCCCAUAUUCCCAAAUAUGGUUUAUAAACGUUCUUUUACAUUUAAAGGGGGAUAUGAUAUAGAUAUGAAUAAUUUGCAUUAGUAUAGAUUUUGCUUUAUUGAUAGAGAUUUAAGGUCAAUUUUGAAUGUAUAUAGGUUGUUAAUGAAUAAUCAUUAAUAGUAGUUAAGCUUGUAGUUAUGUUAGUUAAGAUUUUCUAGAUGUGCAUAGAUAUAUUUUAGAUAGGCAUUCUUCAUAUCUUUCAAAGGCUAGAGAAUAUGGCAUUUUACAUGUUUUAAUAACUUAGGACUUUUCAUGACAAUGAGACACUCUGCUCCUGGCAGCACCAAUCUACUUCAAGAGGAAGAUGGGCAUCAAAGAGGAUCCUUAUGGAGUUUGAUAGCCAUUUGGGCAAGAAACUGCUCUUGCCUGGACUAUUGCAUAAACUGGACACAGAGAACCCGCAGAGAGAGGACUGCUGAACUUGCCUAAAGGUGAGAUGAUCUUUCGGGGUUCCUGAUUCAUGAAAGAGUCUGCAAGACAUUCUUCAGGACAAGCAGAUAGUGACUGCCUUUGAAAGUUCCUGCUUUGUGGAAAUGUCUGCUGGAAACUAUGGGCCUCUAGGCUGAAGAUGGAUGCCCCAACGGUACAGAGGAACUUUGGGUGACUGUCCAGGCAGUGAGAUGUCUCUGUCAUUUCUAGAGUUUGAGUUUGCUUAUUUCUUAUUUGCUUAGGUAAUAUUGUAUCUUUCUGGACUGUUUGAUGGAGUUAAGAAUAGUUAGUUAUAGUUAUAGUUUUUCUUAGUUAUGAUAUAGAUUAUUGUAAUUUUUACUUGAUAACUGUUUUGUUAUAUGUAAUUUUGCUAUGUUAAGUUAAAGCCUUCUUUUUUUUUUGUUUAAACAGAAAAAGGGGAAGUGAUGUGGGAGUGUCAUAUAUCAAUCUGUUGAUUUCAUUGGUUAAGUUAUAAUAAACCAGCUGCUUGGCCUCAUGGCUGGAACAUAGAUGGGAGGAGUAAACAGAAUAGAAUUCUGGGCGGAAGAGGAAGUGAGGUCAGACUCUGCUCUGCUCCCGGAGACUCAACAGCUCUGCUCUGGAGCAGAGAUGCCAUGCUCAGCUCUCCCGGGCAGAUGCAAGCAAUGAAGCUCCUCCAACUCCGGAUGGAUGUAGGCUAGAAUCUUCCCGCUUCCUGCCUGGGACACAGCUGCCUGCAUGGCCUGCCAUGGUCUUGGGACCCACUGCCUACCACUGCUCAGGGUUGAGAUCCAGAACCAGGUAUUUUUCCACAACAAACACGUGUUCCAUCUGCCUGAGCACUGACCUCUAUGCACACCUGCAACUUCAGUGGUGAGUUUUCCCUUUCCAGCCCCCAACCACAGCCUUCAUUACUAUUGUUAAGCCCUUCAUUGAUUUCCAUAGCUAAAAACAUGACCAGAUGACCUGGGGUCAGUCCUCCCACACUAAUACUGCACAUGCUGUGUGGUGCACUUGACUGGGGGUCCAGGGUCCCUUGGAUUUUUUUCUUCUUUUCUCUUUUCUUGUUCUUGACAAAUUAAUCAUCAGUGUUUUCCACCAUGAGAGACCACUUGGAGUGGCCUCUAGCCUCUCUAGCUUCCAAAUCACCCAGACUGGAGCCAGUCAGGCUUUAACACCUGGCCUAUAGAUAAAGGAUGCUGAGAGACGUCCCCCUAUAAGCUUUUGGUGUUGCUGUUUUCAUAUUUUCAGGUAUGGUAUAAACCUUCACUCUGCUGCUGUCCUGCCAGCUCCACUGGCUCCACUUUUCCUCAAUCUGUACCCUCCACUGCUAUUGCUGUCAGUAAGAUUGGCCAGUCCAUGAUGCAACUGUUUUCAAUUCCAGCCUUUUGCUCCCUGCCACAGCUUAUGGCAUGGAGGCUCAGCAACAGGGUGGAUCAUGCCUCUAGAUCUCUCUUCCAUGCAACAUGUGACCACUGCCAUUUUGAUUGAGGUCAGGUGACCAAGUUCCACCAUCUUUACUGAGGUAUUCCCUGCCUGGUCCCAGUUUACUUAUGUUUUUGUCUCUAAAUUCCUCUUGCUGACUCUGUUACAUGUGUGUUUUAUGCAGUGGCAUGCCUCUGGUAGGGCCCACCAAGAGCAUCCACUUUGCCCAAUUCCUGUUUACUCUGUGUGUGUGUGUGUGUGUGCGCGCGCGUGCAUGUAACUUAAAUACACCUAUGGUUUUUCUUUUGUUUUUAUCUCCUUAUUUAUUUAUUUAUUUAUUUAUUUAUUUAUUUAUUUAUUUAAGAUUUCUGUCUCUUUCCCGCCACCGCCUCCAUUUCCUUCCCCCUCCCCCAAUCAAGUCCCCCUCCCUAGUCAGCCCAAAGAGCAAUCAGGGUUCCCUGCCCUGUGGGAAGUCCAAGGACCACCCACCUCCAUCCAGGUCUAGUAAGGUGAGCAUCCAAACUGCCUAGGGUCCCACAAAACCAAUAGGUGCAGUAGGAUCAAAAACCCAUUGCCAUUGAUCUUGAGAUCUCAGUAGUCCUCAUUGUCCGCUAUGUUCAACGAGACCGGUUUUAUCCCAGGCUUUUUCAGACCCAGGCCAGCUGGCCUUGGUGAGUUCCUGAUAGAACAUCCCCAUUCUCUCAGUGUGUGGGUGCACCCCUCGCGGUCCUGAGUUCCUUGCUCGUGCUCUCUCUCCUGCUCCUGAUUUGGACCAUGAGAUUUCUGUCGGGUGCUCCAAUGUUUACUGUUAAAUGUGAUAAUUGUUCAUUGUAUCUCAUUUCAGACUACAAAACAGUCAUGUUUUUAAUGGGUAUGUUCUUUUAAGUCUCUUACAAAAAAUACUAUAUAUAUAUAUAUAUAUAUUCCAACCUUGAUUUAAAAUAUAUUAAGCUGUUCUCUGCUAUUGUUAGGUUCUGCCGUUAAUCUUCUAUUGCAAGCAGUUUUUUCUACUUUCUGUUUUUUUACAAGUGUAAAUUUUACCUGUUAAGUUGAGAGCCAGUACAGUCAAGCUUGGACUCAGCUCUCCAGGAAGAUUCUAUACUGUAGUUAUAUCUGAUAAACAGUUUUCAACUGCUCAGAGAUCUAGGGAAUAUGGCAUUUAAAUAUUUAAUUAUUAAAAGACUUUUCAUAACAAAAAGAGACAGGUUGGCUCCAAGCAGCAGCACUCUACUUCCUCCAAAGAAGACAGAAGACAAAUGGGCACAGAACAACAUCCAUCUGUAAUUCGCUUCAACUGCCAAGCACUGACCACUGGGAAAAACUGCCUUUCAUCUAAACUGAAGAUCUCCAGACAUGGGUAGAAUCACUGGAAUCGACAGCAUAGCUGCUCAGGUCAAGGGAGUCGAAUUGGACCCACCUGAGCAGGUCAGAUUCACUCAAGGUCCAAGCUGUCAGUCAGAUGAUUCUACAGAGCUCAAACAAGGGGGAAGACCCAACCAUCUCAGGAGAAGCCUCCCAGAGAUGACUCAUGCCCACCAAGUCAGCUUGAACAGUUUUGAGAGCCCCAAUGCCCCCAUUCCUGCUCAUCUUCAACCCUUAAUUCCUCCCCAUUUGUUAAUAAACAAAAGGGUGAGUUGUUAUUUCUAUCACAUCCGGGGUCCCAUGGUCACCAACAUUCAGGCAGAAUGCUUAGUCACCCUAGGCAUUAGCAUUUCUGGUUCCCAUGGUCUCGUAUGUGCCAUCAGCAUUCACGCAAACUGCCUCAUCAGCCUAGGGCCUCACACCCUAUGUAACCUAUGUGCAGCGUAAUCACUUAAUCUAUGCAUGAUGUGAUUAUGUAAGUCCCUAUGCGCAUGCGCUAAACGACAUUUAAAAAGUGGAUAUGCCCACUUCACUCUCUCUCACCGUGUUGCUUUCAGACAGACCUGUGCACCUUCCCUUUUUUCUCCUCCUCUCCCUUCUCUUUAUUAA